GCGAUUGCUCAGUCGGUAGAGCAGUGGACUCGUAAUCCAGUGACCCGGGUUCGAAACCAUGUCGAUGCG
Non-coding RNA from Strongylocentrotus purpuratus (purple sea urchin), 69 nucleotides. The record is from Rfam. NCBI's taxonomy places the organism in Eukaryota, Metazoa, Echinodermata, Echinoidea, Camarodonta, Strongylocentrotidae.